GCCUUGCGGAUUGAGAAUAAAUUUUCAUACUUGCCACAAACUCAACCAAAGACUGUUUGAUCACAGAAUAUCAUAAUGCUGGACUCAUAACAAACAAUAUAAGGCCAUGCAUAUAAAAACUUACUGAUGGUUCUAUAUUCUUUGGUGCAAAUCAGUCGAUGGCGAUUAAUUCUUACUGAUUAAAAUGUCCAAUGCUUUCGCCACACG
RNAcentral lists this long non-coding RNA (207 nucleotides) under Mytilus galloprovincialis (Mediterranean mussel). Lineage: Eukaryota; Metazoa; Mollusca; Bivalvia; Mytilida; Mytilidae. The record is from RNAcentral.